Molecule: ribosomal RNA, 776 nt
Filed under: uncultured Neocallimastigales
Lineage: Eukaryota; Fungi; Neocallimastigomycota; Neocallimastigomycetes; Neocallimastigales
Description: partial large subunit ribosomal RNA
Rfam family: Eukaryotic large subunit ribosomal RNA
Source: RNAcentral
GUAGUCUCGCACAGAUGCAUAUCAAUAAGCGGAGGAAAAGAAACUAACAAGGAUUCCCUUAGUAACGGCGAGCGAAGCGGGAAGAGCUCAAAUUUGAAAUCUUCAAGGUUUUACCUUGACGAAUUGUAGUUUAAAGAAGUGUUUUCUGUUGAAGUUUUGGUAAAAGUUCUUUGGAAUAGGACAUCAUAGAGGGUGAGAAUCCCGUAGUUUGACCAUUAUUUUCAGCUGUGUGAUACACUUUCAAAGAGUCGGAUUGUUUGGGAAUGCAGUCCAAAAUGGGUGGUAAAUUUCAUCUAAAGCUAAAUAUUGGCGAGAGACCGAUAGCGAACAAGUACCGUGAGGGAAAGAUGAAAAGAACUUUGAAAAGAGAGUUAAACAGUACGUGAAAUUGUCAAAAGGGAAGCGUUUGACACCAGUGUUGUUUUCCUCGAAAAUCAAUUAAAAAGAGUUUGAUUUUGUUGUGUAUUGACCUUAACAGCUUGCAUUUCAAUUUUCUUGCUUUUUUUAAUGCACUUUUCGUUUAACAAGUCAACAUCAGUUUCUUUUGUUGUAAAAAGGUCAUUGGAAGGUGGCUUUCUUUUCGGAGAAAGUGUUUAUAGCCUUUGACUCCUGCAAUCGGAGAGACUGAGGUCUGCAGCGUAGAUCCUUCGGGGUUAGAUACAUUUGUGCUAAGUUAUAGCUUUUUAUAGACAACUUGUUGACUAUGAUUAGUCUUGUAGCUUACUCGCUUAUGCUAUUUUACCUACGCUUAGGAUGUUGAGCGCAUGUCUCUCUCU